GCUAGGAGGCGGGCCAGGCCAGGAGCCCUCGAUGCCACUGGGAAGGGGGUGUUAGAAGACAGAGCGCUCCACUGAUCCUGCUGGGCCGUAUAAAUGGAGCCAUGGUUAGGGUCGUCAAAACUACGUCUGCCCCCCCAGGUUCUGAAAUCCAACGCUCCCGGGAUAGAACAGUCAGGAAUUCUAACAGGCAACUGGGGCACUUCUGGGCACAGCUGGUGUUUUGGAGAGGAAAGGAAAACUCAGUGGGGAGAGCUGCUGACUCCAGCCAUGAGAGGAAAGGUCUACGGACAUUUCUCCUACAAAAAUAGAUCACCCGGCAGAACCGCUGUGAGCUGCGCUUUAGUGGAAGAAAACCUAAGGGUCCCGCAUCAUUCUAUGUCGGUUGGAAUGAACUGGGCAUGAAGUCCAUGUCAGUUUUUCUGUUUUGCAAAAUCAAUGCAAUUUCUCACUUGCUGAGCCAACCGCAUGAUCCCAGCCAAAUCAGCCAUCAACUGUUAUCUUUUUUAAACUUCAAAUAAUGAAGUACUCUUGUUUUCCUGAAAUGUCUUGAAAAGGUUAUUUCUAGGCUGACACUCUGCUUGCCAGCUUUUAU
Molecule: long non-coding RNA, 592 nt
Filed under: Equus caballus (horse)
Lineage: Eukaryota; Metazoa; Chordata; Mammalia; Perissodactyla; Equidae
Description: lncRNA (ENSECAG00000055579.1)
Source: RNAcentral